This is a non-coding RNA of Amborella trichopoda, 7322 nucleotides long. Lineage: Eukaryota; Viridiplantae; Streptophyta; Magnoliopsida; Amborellales; Amborellaceae. The record is from RefSeq and is a predicted model, not a curated record.
GGCACACUCGCUCGAGUUGUUUUCGCUUCGACCUUAAUCUGUGGCGCGAAAUUCUACUGCCAAAACAAAGCAUACAACCCCUCCACUAUUACGAGUGAGUACCAGAAAAGGAGGCGAAGAAAAGCAAAGGCGAAGAAAGCUGGUGGCAUGAUGACAGCGUCUCAGGUAACCCCACGCUCCACCUAUUUAUUAAUCCCGUUUUUCUUCUUUCCAACCCUAUCAGAGAUGCUGCACAAAUUUUCUCCUCUUUUUUCUUUACAGGAAAGAGAAGAACCAGAUGAAGAAGAGAAGGAGAUCAGCUUAGAAGAAGAGUCCCCUCCCUCUGUUUCUUCCUGUGUUAUGUUUCUUUUUGGGGAUUCAUCUGCUGGUCCUGCUUAUCUGUUCACGAAAUGGUUACAAUCUGUGCGUAAACAGAGUGGAAGGUAUCGAUCUUCGGGGUUUCCUAAUCGACCAUCGAGAUUGACAAGUAUGCCAUUACUGUUGCCCUCCGAUCAUGCCAGAUCAAGAGAAUAUGAUGUUGAUUCAGUAGAUUCAUUGCCGUCCGAACAUGCCCCAGAGAUCAGUUUGUGGGAGAGACUAGGCAAAGCUGCACGGUUGGACAUUGAGUCAAGUGAAUUUUCUUGGGACUUGCUGGCAUCUCUGCACCAUACGGAACACAGUAGCAGUACUGACCAAUCUGAAGAGGAAAUGAUGAAGCCCCUUGAGGUAACUGUCAACUCUGGGGGAGUUGUUUUCUUUGCCUUGUUCAACAGACCUGAGAGCGAUGAACUCAUACCAAACGAAGCAGCAGCAGUUAUAAAAUUUUCUUCCUCUAGGAUGGCAACACAAUCAGAGCGCUUGGGUUAUGAGUUUGCCAAGUGGCUAGGAAUCCAAACACCACAAGCUAGAGUUAUUCAUAACAGUAAUCCAGAAUGGCAAAGAAUCAAGGAUGCUGCUGGGAAAGCAAAAGAGGCUGCAGUUGCAGAAGGUGAUGAAGUAGGGGAGAUGACAUGCUCUGAAUUGUUGGAAGCCCUUGAACUGAGUCGAUGCCUUCUUCUUAUGAAUUAUGUUCAUGGGCCCCCCCUCUUAGACAGCAUUAAUGCCUUCAAUUUCCAGGAAGUAGCUGAAAAGACAGCUUCAGCUCUAGGCAGGAUAUUGUUGUUGGACCUUGUUCUUAGGAAUGAAGAUAGGCUUCCCUGUCGCCAACUUGGGUGGCGUGGAAACCCAGCAAACCUUUUAUUUGCGGAGAAAUUGGCCUCUCCAGAUAUGGAAGCCAUUCAGGGUGAUGCACUUGUUGUACCAAGAAGAAACAGGAUUAUAAAAUCUCUCCAGAAAGAGAGAAGAUUCUAUUCAGUUGAUAGUAGGCUGAGUCCUGGUAGACAUUCCUUAAUAUCUCAGAGCUCUGAUGCAUCCGAGUUUAUGGCUUCUUCCCCUGAAUCCACUCGUACAGAUUCAGGGAUUUCUGACUUUCAUGAUACCCAGUUUGGCGAUUUUCAUAUUGUGGCGAUCGAUUCUGGAGUCCCUCGCAGGCCCCCUGCUGGUAAACGCGCAAAUGACCAAGUUCAGUAUCCAAAGUUGGUAGAGCUCCUCCUCAAUAGUUCCGAGUUCUCUGCAAAUUUGCUUCAUGAAUUAUCUGCGGGUAAGUUAGGGUAUCAUGUCCCAGAAGAAUGUAUUGGACAAGUGGAACCUUGUUCUUCUGAUACUGCUAUGAUUGUUCAUCAGUUUCGUGGUGGGUUUCGUGCUGCUCUGAGGGAGCUCCAGAGCUUUCAAAUAUUCCUCCUAACUGUUUACCAAAAACUGGAUGGGCUUCUUCGAGCUUUCUUAUUGAUAAUCAAUAAAAGCUCAACAGGAGACAAUGAGAAGGAGGAGUGUGGGCUUUCUGAGUCACUAUCACAAGCUUCUGGUUUUAGCCAAAAUUUUCCGUCAUCUUUUAAUAAGGAACGGAAUGUACCAGAAAACCAUGCAGAGUGCAGUGAACCUUCUUUCAAGUCAUCUUCUUCCAGUUCUAAAGAGAGCCCAGACUCGGCUUCCCCUGUGUCACGAGAAAAUUGGCACGGGAGAUACUCUAAAGGAGGUGGAGAUCCUCUUCGAAGCUUGCGCUUAACAACGAAACUUAAGGACUUCAACAAAUAUGCCAAGUUAGAUGCAGAAUUAAGCAAAGAGUUAGAGCAAUGGAAUGAGAUGCUGAGAAUAGAGGCAGUUAAACUAUGCCAAGACAACAACUUUCACACUGGUUUUUUUGAAGGAAGCGAUAACAACAGUGUCAUUGAUGCAUACGAGUUGAAGGUUAGGCUUGACCACCUUCUUGAGAGGAUAGCUCUGAUAUCUGAUGCUGCGAAUACAGAAAGACCAUCUUCAAUUACAGGUAACCUGUUUAUUGGUGGAGCACUGGCCGCAAGAUCUGCGCACACCCUCCAAUACUUGGGCAUCACUCAUAUACUGUGCUUAUGCUCAAAUGAAACUGGGCAAUCAGAAUCUCAGUAUCCUGAACUGUUUGAGUACAAGAAUUUCUCAAUAUGUGACACUGACGAUGCGAAGAUCAACAAUCUAUUUGAAGAUGCUUCGGACUUCAUUGAACACGUGGAGAGUUUGGGAGGAAAAGUUUUGGUUCAUUGUUUUGAAGGAAGAAGUCGAAGUGCUACUGUUGUUCUCGCCUACUUAAUAUUAAGAAACUGCUAUUUGAUCGUGGGUUAAAUCUUGCAAGAGAGGGUGAGAUUAUUGUCAUGAUAUGGUAUUUCUUGCAAAUCGCGUUUGAGCUGAGCUGGAGCUUUCAUUCUGCUGUUAGUCAUGCCGACAUGGGUUUCCCACCCCACAUUCCAUGUUCCAUGACCUUCACUGUUAGAUAGUAGCAAAUGACUCCAAGGGAGUGGGUUUCAUUCUCCAUUAAUCUCAUUCCUGAAUAAUGAUGGCAAUGAUUUUCAGAGUAUUGGGUAUGCAUUUUGGCUUUGGAGGUGCCAUGAAACAUUGAGAUAUCCAUAAUAUCCGAUAUUGUUUAGCAAGUGAUUUGGAGUAUAUAUCCAAUGUGUCCUUGCAGAUGCUCGCGUCAGAGGAUUUAGACAUAUACUGGAUAUGCCCCUCUAGGGCUACCUAUCACUAGAGGACUUGGACAUAUAUCAGAUAUGCCCCUGUGGUUGCUGACCACUAGAGGACUUGAAGACAUAUAUCAAAAAUACCCCUGUGACUGCCAGCUACUAGAGGACUUAAAACUAGAAAAGAGGACCUUGGCCAGAAUCUUAUAGGAGCUAUUCGCCAAACUAAUAGGGGCGAAAUCUUUUAGCUUCACCGCACCCUCUACUUUGGGGAUAAGGGCUACAAAGGUAGUGUUCAUUGCCUUGUUAAUGAUUCCCCUAUCAUAGAAUUCGGCAAAGAAAGCCCGCAAGUCUGGGUGCAAGAGCUCUCAAAAGCGAUUAUAAAUGGCUAUUUGAAAUCCGUCUGGGCCGGGGGCUCUAUCCUGGCCUAAGUCUUUAAUGGAUGAGAUUAUUUCCGAUUCUAGGAAGGGUACGUCAAGACUUUGAGCUUGGGCAGGUGAAAGAGUGAGAAAAGAAAGCUCUGCCAUUUGUUGGCUGAGGCGUGGCAGAAAAGAGAUCCUUGAAAUAUUGAAUAAUGGUUUCUUCUACUCUAGAAGGGUCAUCCAAUGACUCCCUGAGACUGAAUUUGUGUGAUGAGAUUUUCACUUCUUCUACAAUUGGCAAUCUUAUGAAAGUAACCAGUGUUGAGAUCUACUUACCCAAAAAAAAAAAAAAACCAGUGUUGAGAUCUCCUGUCUUGAGCCACCUGACUCUGGAACGCUGUGCCCAAAAGAUCUCCUUCCGAAUGGUACAUUGAAAGUCAGCUUUGUAUUGAGAUCUCAGGAGCUGCUCAUUGGAAGAAAGAGAACGGGACUCCUCAAGAGUGUUGAGGUCAUGAAUCACUGAGAGUAGAGAAAGUUUCAUAGCCCAGAAAUUCCCAGGUAAGUUCUUGCUCCAAGUUUUGAGGGCCUCUUUGAGGAGCUUGAGUUUUUGUUGGAAUCUGAAACCAGCCCAACCUUGAAUUAAGGGGGAAAAGAGGAUCACCAGGAAGGAACAAGGGAGUGGAGGGAGGAUUCUUCGAGCCAGGCCAUUUCAAAGCGGAAAGGUCUAGGGCCUCCUAAGGGAGGGGAGGUACCUAAGAGAAGAGGUUUAUGUUAAAAAAUAGUUUUGGCUAAAACUCGUGAUGUGGUGCCUGGGAAGGAGGCCUCCCACUCCAAACUGCGAAGGAAGCGGUCGAUCUUGGAAAGGCAGGGGGAUGGAGAAGAGUGGUUCGACCAAGUGAAUCUUGCUCCAAGGAGAGGGAUAUCCAUGAGAUCAUUGUUAACUAUCCAGUCCACAAAAUCCAUCAUAGCCUGAGAAAUAGUGGAAGAAUUUGAUCUUUCAAAAGACCAUCUAGUGUCGCUGAAGUGACAUCCCAGACACUAAGAGGGGGGCGGGGGGUCUCAGAGGCUGAGAAUUUGGCCUGUGAACUUCCACAGAAGACCGUCCGACAAAUGAGAGAGGGACACUAUGACCGAAAAGGAGGCCACCACGGAAGAGGAGAGAGAAUGGGAGGAUAGGUCCUAGAUAACCCAAAUACCCCUGGAGGCACCCUGGGCUUCGAGGGCAAUCCAUUGACAUGGCCUAUGACCCCAGACUUGACUGAUUUGGUGGAGAGACGUAACCUGGAGCUUGGUCUCAAUUAGAGUUGCAAUAGAGGGUUGAUAUUGAGAGCAGUAGGAAAGAACGAAGGAUGUAUUUUUGCUAGAGCCAAGGCUGUGGAUAUUCCAUACUAAAAUCUUCAUUAUCUGGACAGGGAAAGAGAGUGUGUAGCCGAGCGGCUAGGAGUGGCUUGCGCCCCCGCCGGAGAGGGGGAGCACUGGAAGAGUCUCAAUCGAAAUGCACAUAAAAGAAGAGAUUGGAAACUUCUCUAGAUUGCUUCAGACUUACUUUGAAACGUGUCUCAGCAUUGGAGCGACAAAAAGCCUCCACAUCUUCCUAUGAUCCAUCGAACUUAAAACCCACAACCCGGUGCACUUGGUCAGCUUUCCCCGGCGCACUUUCUGUGGACCUGACUUUGUCUUUCAAGGUUUGCCAAUGAGAAAAUCCUUUGGUUGCGCUCUUUCCAGAUGGUCCAUAGGGUUGCGGCCACUAAUGCCUUCCAAAGCAUUAGUCGGAAAAGCUGAGACACUGACUCGGGUGUAACCCAUGAUCACCUGAACAGUUGGAGGAUAUCUUCCCACAGAAGGCUAGCUGUGCUGCAAUGGAUGAAUAAGUGUGAGUUUGUUUCUUCAUUGGCCAUGCACAUCACACAGCAGUUGGGAAGUUGCAAUCCCCGUUUUUGUAGCUUAUCAACUAUGAAAGCUCUCUCCGAAAUGGCCACCACCCAGUUGAAGACCUGGAUUUUUGGGCGGAUGUAGGGAAUCCAAGCUAGGGUUGUAGGCGGUUUGCCUGUGAGAGAGUUUUGCUGGAGGGGUGAUGAGUUUAAGGUAGAAAGAGAAGACUGUGAAGGCUCCCGAGGAAGUGGGGGACCACAAGAUUUGGUCUUUACCAUGAUGGGGCAGAAAAGGGGAAUGUAAAGAGUUCCAAGAAGGCUGGGGUUUCUGCAUCCGUAUGAUCUCUACGAUGGUCGGGUUCCACACUCGGGGGAUGUUGCGGGUGGAAGGUGGUCUGCAACCAGGGUGUUGGGAUCUCUAGCUAGUUGGAAAAGGCUGGGGAAGUGAAGCAUUAGAGGGAGGUGGCCGAUCCAACGGUCUCUUCAGAAUCUGACUUUGUCGCUCUCUCUAGGAUGGAACGGAAUGUGGGUUUUCAAGCAAUGAAGACAAUGGAUAAUGGAUUUCCAGAAGCCCAAGGAUGAUUAAUGAGGUCUUCUGGGAGGAAUCAUGGGGAGGAGUUGAGACGAUAUUUGUGGGUCAAGACCUGGUGCCACAUUUGGCCAGCCUGGGUAGCAAUUCUCUACCACGAUUUACCUAGUAGAGCUGGGUUAUUCUUUCAAAGACUAUGGAUUCCCAAACCACCAAGGGAUCUAGGUUUGCAGACUGCGUGCCAAGAUAUAAGGUGAUUUUUUCUGGAUUCCUUGUCCCCUGACCAAAGAAAGUUGUGCAUAAGUUGCUCGAGAUGCUGAGCAAUCGUGGGUAUGUGCAAGAGCGACAUUUUAUAUGUAGGAACGUUUGAGAGCGUUGCUUCUCUGGCCACCAAGGAGAGGUGCCUUCUUUUCCAUGUAGCAAAUUUGCUAUCACAGCGAUCGAUGAUGUGGCUCGAAAGGCUUUUUUUCAGGCUUGCCAAGGCACAAAGGCAAUCCUAGGUAGGUGGGAGAGAUGGAGUCAGUUUUGCAACCUCGCCUAUCAGCAAAAGCCUGGGUAGAGAGAUGGUGAAGGGAACUGCUGAUCAUCUUGGAUUUUGUGAGGUUGACUUUGAGGCCCGUGGGAAGUGGAAACAUUUGAGAAAAAGGAGUAAGUUGUCAACCUGUUGGGCCAAAGCGUUACAAAAGACGAGCGUGUCAUUAACAUAUUGGAGGUGGGGGAUGGCUGGAACAUCCCUAGCAGUCUUGAAGCCCUCUAGAAGCUGUAUUUAUACAUCCUAGAGAGGGAUCUGCUGAAAACCUUAGCAGCAAUUGCAAAGAGGAAGGGGGAAAGGGGGUUGCCCUGUCUGAGGCCCUUGAGGAGUGGAAGAAGCCACGAGGAGAGCAAUUACUGAGAAAAGAAAAAUAGGGUUGGUGGAUACAUCCUCGGAUCCACCUUCUGCGAAGGGUUUCCUCCAGGAUGGCCCAAAUGACAUGGUUGUAGCCUUUUCCCAGUCCCGUUUAAUGACCAGGCCUGGUGUCUUGGAGACGUUUCCGGAGUAAUCAUUUGGUAUGCUGUAAAAAAAGAUGGACUGCGUGCUUUUGGAAGGACCUGUAGCUGCACCCUCAACCAUUGUAGGUUGACUUCCCUUGCCUAUUCAGUGUAGCUUCCAACCAGAAAGCCACUGUCUUCUGUUUCUGUGAGCAGCGUGGCCCCAAACAAUACGGACGUCGAGGUUUAUAUGCAAUCUAGAUGACAACAAAGCCUUAGAGCUAGCUUUCGUGCUGCUAGGCUACAACGCCACUUCAUACCUCGUUCAGGCCCUGACAAAAUGGGAGCCCUGGUAUGGCUGGCGUUGAAAGUGCCUUUGGAAAUCACAUGGGCGCCUGCUCUUGUAUAUGUGGGUCCCAUUGGCUUCUCGGACACAAACUCGGCCGAAGCGCAAACUCUGGUUAUGGGCCUCAAAUUUAUCGACAGGGGUUGGAGGAAAUUCACCCUUCUGGAUGCAUGGAAUGUGCUGAAGAAAGUUCAUCGUCGAGCGCAACCCAAUGAUGGUUUCAUGAGAACCCUUUUG